Galeopterus variegatus (Sunda flying lemur) is the source of this 5191-nucleotide RNA transcript. It is a transcript of the gene named SNF related kinase, with no coding region annotated. The transcript is spliced from 8 exons. NCBI's taxonomy places the organism in Eukaryota, Metazoa, Chordata, Mammalia, Dermoptera, Cynocephalidae. The record is from RefSeq and is a predicted model, not a curated record.
UUUAAAGAGGAUUCCUGUUUUGCCCUCCCUGAACAUUUAUUUCUCUGCUGUCACUUUCAGAGCCUCCUGAGAGCCUGCUUUGGCACGUCCAACAUUUGGCCUCUACUCAGGAGAAAGAAGCAACUAACAAAACACAGUGAUAACAAGGAUUAUUCAGUAUGCAGUUUGCAGGAUGUCCAUGGCAUCAUUGAAAAUGAAUUCCUUAUUUUCACCAGAUAUUCUUGUAUGAGAAGAUCCAUUUCAAACAGUCUAAAUAUUUUUUCUUCUGUUGGACCAGCAUGGCAGGAUUCAAGCGAGGGUAUGAUGGAAAGAUUGCUGGAUUAUAUGACCUGGAUAAAACCUUGGGUCGAGGUCAUUUUGCCGUGGUUAAACUUGCCAGGCAUGUUUUUACAGGUGAAAAAGUGGCAGUAAAAGUUAUUGACAAGACAAAACUGGACACUCUAGCCACUGGUCAUCUUUUCCAGGAAGUGAGAUGUAUGAAACUAGUACAGCAUCCUAACAUUGUACGCCUUUAUGAAGUUAUUGACACCCAGACCAAACUGUAUCUUAUUCUAGAACUUGGGGAUGGAGGAGAUAUGUUUGACUACAUAAUGAAACAUGAAGAGGGUCUUAAUGAAGACUUGGCCAAGAAAUACUUUGCUCAGAUAGUUCAUGCUAUAUCUUAUUGCCAUAAACUCCAUGUGGUUCACAGAGACUUAAAACCUGAGAAUGUAGUCUUCUUUGAAAAACAAGGUCUUGUAAAGUUGACAGACUUUGGUUUCAGCAACAAAUUUCAACCAGGGAAGAAGCUCACUACAAGCUGUGGAUCUCUUGCAUAUUCUGCUCCAGAAAUUCUGCUUGGUGAUGAGUAUGAUGCACCUGCAGUAGAUAUAUGGAGUCUGGGAGUGAUCCUUUUCAUGUUGGUGUGUGGGCAACCACCCUUUCAAGAGGCCAAUGACAGUGAAACAUUGACAAUGAUCAUGGAUUGCAAAUAUACAGUACCAUCCCAUGUGUCUAAAGAUUGUAAAGACCUGAUCACACGGAUGCUGCGGAGAGAUCCCAAAAGAAGGGCCUCUUUAGAAGAGAUUGAAAACCAUGCUUGGCUUCAGGGAGUGGACCCUUCACCAGCCACAAAGUAUAACAUCCCCCUUGUGUCACACAAAAAUCUCUUGGAAGAGGAGCACAACAGCAUCAUUCAGCGCAUGGUGCUUGGGGACAUCGCUGAUCGAGACGCCAUCGUAGAAGCUCUGGAAACCAACAGGUAUAAUCACAUCACAGCCACUUACUUCUUACUUGCUGAAAGGAUCCUGAGAGAAAAGCAAGAGAAAGAAAUACAAACCAGAUCUGCAAGCCCUAGCAAUAUUAAGGCGCAGUUUAGGCAGUCAUGGCCAACCAAAAUUGAUGUACCCCAGGACCUUGAGGAUGACCUCACAGCUACUCCUUUGUCCCAUGCGACUGUCCCUCAGUCUCCUGCUCGGGCUGCCGACAGUGUCCUCAAUGGCCACAGGAGCAAAGGCCUGUGUGACUCGGCUAAGAAAGACGACCUCCCCGAGUUGGCUGGACCAGCACUCUCUACAGUGCCACCUGCAAGCUUAAAACCCACAGCCAGUGGGCGGAAGUGUCUGUUUAGGGUGGAAGAAGAUGAGGAGGAGGAUGAGGAGGAUAAGAAGCCCAUGUCCCUCUCAACACAGGUGGUUUUGCGCCGGAAGCCAUCUGUGACCAACCGCCUGACGUCCCGAAAGAGUGCUCCUGUCCUCAACCAGAUCUUUGAGGAAGGGGAAUCUGAUGAUGAGUUUGACAUGGAUGAGAAUCUGCCUCCCAAGCUGAGCAGGUUAAAGAUGAACAUCGCUUCCCCAGGCACAGUUCACAAGCGCUACCACCGGAGGAAAAGUCAGGGCCGGGGCUCCAGCUGCAGUAGUUCAGAGACCAGUGAUGACGAUUCUGAAAGCCGGCGGCGGCUUGAUAAAGACAGCGGCUUCACCUACUCCUGGCACCGCCGGGAUAGCAGCGAGGGGCCCCCUGGUAGUGAAGGGGAUGGUGGAGGCCAGAGCAAGCCGAGCAACAGUAGUGGAGGGGCGGACAAGGCCAGCCCCAGCGAGAACAAUGCCGGCGGGGGCAGCCCCUCCAGCGGCUCGGGCGGCAACCCCACCAACACAUCUGGCACCACGCGCCGCUGCGCCGGCCCUGGCAACUCCAUGCAGCUGGCCUCUCGCAGCGCUGGGGAGCUUGUUGAGAGCCUCAAACUUAUGAGCCUCUGCCUUGGCUCCCAGCUUCAUGGGAGCACCAAGUACAUUAUUGAUCCACAGAAUGGCUUGUCGUUUUCCAGUGUGAAAGUCCAAGAGAAAUCCACUUGGAAGAUGUGCAUCAGCUCCGCGGGGAAUGCAGGGCAGGCCCCUGCAGUGGGCAGCAUAAAGUUUUUCUCUGACCACAUGGCAGAUACCACCACUGAAUUGGAACGGAUAAAGAGCAAGAACCUGAAAAAUAACGUGCUACAGCUACCUCUGUGUGAAAAGACCAUCUCUGUGAACAUCCAGCGGAACCCUAAGGAGGGGCUGCUGUGCGCCUCCAGCCAGGCCAGCUGCUGCCACGUCAUUUGACUACGUGCCAGCCUGGCCGCUGGCACUUGUCCUGCUCAGAGCGGUGAAGACUGGCUCGCCUCACUGUUCCCUUUUUGGUUUUACUAUUUUAAAGUGGGUGUUAGGAGCAAUUAUUUAUUACCUUUUUAUUUGUUCGCCUGACGAUGUGACAAUGCAUGGUCUUUGUGCAUGCUGCUAGACACUACUUUUCUUUUCCAGCUGAAAAGUCUGUUGUGUAAUUUUUACAUUUAUAAUUUUAAUGUGGAUGAUCAGGAUUAAAUUAAAAUGUAUAUUUGGAACCUAGUUAUAAAUGGAGCACUUAGAAAUUUGAUGUUCUGCACUUAACCUAGAGAGAGAAAAAAUGUUUUUGUUUCUUUGUGAAAAAUCUAAAUUCCUGUCCUGACCUUCUGUGAUACGGAAGCUCCGUACUCUGAGGCACACUCUGUGGUGUCCGAGACAGAACCAAAGCAAUAAUGCUGUGAUGCCAACAGGCUGGGGUGAGCGAGCAUGUGCCGCCCGGCUGGCCAGGACUGUGCAGAGCAGAGGACAGUGAGCGUCUGCACUGAGAACCUUCAAACUAUGAUUUAAACAUACCCACACCUGUUUGUCUUAAACUAUAGUGUGAAAAAAGUUUGGGCUCUUAAAAUUUAACUGAAAAAAAUUUUCUUGUUUUUGUAAUAGAUGAGCUAAAGUACUUAGAUUUAUAAGGCAGCUUCCCCUGUAGUGAUAAAUUACAAGCAGACAAUCUUACUUUGUAAUGUGAUGAAGUGAAUUGAUGAUGUCUUAACUCUACUUUUAGAGUGUACAUCUGUCUAACAGAACAAAAAGAUGCUCUGUAAAUUCCUUCCUGUAGGGCGCACCGCUGGAUUUCCUUUAAAACCACAUGGGUAGAAGAAACCAUAGGGCCUAGUACAAAAGCAGAGGUGCACACAGAUGUUUGCAAAGUCAAACCCAUGAAUGAAAACAAAACCAGACUUAGUGGAUUUGUUUCUCAGGAGUUUGCUAAUUAGGUUGUUCUUUUAUCAUUUCCAUUUUUUUACGUCCUUUGGCUCAAGCUAGCUAUGGAAAUUGGCUGAUCAAAAAAUGCAUAUGAGAAGGUAAAAUUCACACAUACAGCAAACAAAAAUGCACAAAGCCUGCUUUGUAACUUUUUAUUCUGGAAGUAUUUUUCACUUUGCCUUCCUGCCAAAAGAAUAAUCAAAGAACUCUUGCUUUGACCUGUUCCUGUAUAAAGACUACCAGAUAAUGAUCUCUUGUGGCAUUUUGUCUUUUAGAACACAGUAUAUUGAAGAUUGCUAAUUUUGGUAGGGGCCAGAUGCUGUUUUUUCAUGCUGUGCCCUGAGGGUCUUAAAAGCAAUGCAUGGUGACUUGGUGAUAGAAUGUGGCUAGGACCCAGGGCCACUCCCACACCCCCUUCAGCCUCCUAUCAUGUCUCUGAAGUGACCAACUGAGAUGCAUCUGGUCACAUAACUCGGAGAGUGGGCAGAGCACCAAAGAACUGCAUUGUGUUGGUCACUUUCUUCAAGUACACACUGACUCUGCUACUUUAGGAUUAAUAUAGUUCACUCAGAACUCUGAAUUUCACAGUAUACUUACUAAACUAAGUAAAAAUGAUACUUAAAAUACUUUACUUUCUAGACCUAUGCUAGAUAUGUUUUAAGCUACAGCUCUAGUUCAUUGUGAUAUUUAUAAUUGAAAGCUACGAGAAUAGAUGUGUGGGUGAAGCCAUAGAACAUAUUUGCUUGAAAUUCUUGAGCAGGGAUCUUAUAUAAAGGGCCAGAAAUAAGAUGUGUGGUUCACAUAGAUAGUGAGCGUAACAUCUGUAUUAAACGUAGGAGAGAAGUUUAUAAAAGGGCAUUGGCAAUAAAUUCUUUGUUGCAGCUGUUUUCCAAGUAAUGUAAAUAUUUUUUCCUGUGAUUAUGUAUAGCCUUGGAAUGGCACCUUUUAACUAACCCAUAUGUGUUUGGUUUUCAAUGGUUUUUUUAUAUUCAAAUGUAUAUAUGGUGCUCACUUUAGGAUCAGCAGUGUUGACCAUUUAUGCUGCAUAGCUGUAUUAUAGCCUUAUAGUUGUGUGUGGUUGAUUGGCCCUCUGGGUAUUCAAAUGUCAGUCUGAGUGGUGUCUUACUCAUUUGUUCAUAAGUGGAUGAUUGUGCAUGUGUUGUAUGUCAUAGUAUGUCGUCACCUAAAAGGGAGGGAGCGAACAACCAUUACAUUAAGAUAAUAUUGGACCAAACUACUUACUUGCUCUAAACAGUUACUUGUACCCCUUAACCUGUCUUCAAAAGUUACAUAUAGUUACAGUAGUGUAUAAAUUAAAUAUUGUGGAAAAAGUUAGUCUUGUAUUUUUCUGUAUGUGUGUAUAUAUAUAAUUAUGUACUUCUGGCAAUUCUAUCUGUAUUAAAGAUGUGACAAUCUUGACACCGAUUUUCAGAAUAGCCAAGAGACUGAAUUUGAUUGAAGAUAUCCCUACCAAGUAAGAAUUGGUCUGUGUUAAGAGGGUACAAAAUUAUCAGCUGAUUUGGUCAGUUGCUUCCAAUGCUGGUUGAUUUUCCUCAUUGUGUAAACAUUGACAGGUAUGUGUCAAAUGGGAAAAAGUCCAAAUAAUAAAGUGACAUAUUGGUGUUCAGCAAUAUAAA